CAGACUGACAGGCUGGAUGUGAGAUCUGGCAGGCGUAGAUUAUGAUACUCAUUUCUAACACGCUGUAAACAUGGCUGUUAGUAACACUACACUGUUUACACCCCGGUGUGUUUGGCCUACUUUAAUCCUAUUGUGGAUCCUGCUGUGGGAAGCCGGCUGUGACACUCAAUACCAAGCAGAGGAGGUGGAGAUUUUCCAUUCUGAUAAACAGAAAUCAUUGGAAUGGAAAUCUGAGCCAAACGAAGAGUGGACUUCAAUUAACCUUAGAUUGGAUUCUUCCAAUCCAGUCCCUGUGCUUCAAGCUUGUGCAAGGCGCAUGACAAGAACUGUUUUAAGCCCGUGGAUGAAGCGGAAAGAUGCCCACUACAUACUGAUGGAUGUUUCCUUAGCCCAAGAACAACAGCCGUCUGAACAGCUGAGCCCACUACAAGUUCACUUUUUUGACAAAAACACACCAAUGACAAUGUUUCAAAAUAGUUUGACCGUCCUGAAUCUUAACACCUCCAGGCCUUUCCCUGUCGAAGCAGUCCUGACGUCCGGGCACUUUGAGCGCAGACUGGCUCUGGGCCUGGGCCCCGUCAGACAGACAGGCUUCCAGCUGGCCUUCUCCUACUCUGGAACAUGUGUGCUGCUGACAUCCAUCAGACUGUACUACAGGAGGUGCCCUGACAUCGUUAGUAACCUGGCCUUGUUUGAAGGGACGGGGGCCGCGUCGGGUGCCCUGAGGGGCUCCUGUGUGAACGGAGCUGUGGAGGUUUCUCCUCCUGUUAGAGAGUGUGAGGCGGAUGGAGAAUGGGGUCCAGAGCAUGGAGGAUGUACCUGUAAUCCCGGCCAUCAAGUCAUGGAUGACACAUGUCAAACUUGUGAUAUGGGCUACUACAAACCAGCCAAUGAGAGUGGAGUAUGCCGGCCAUGCCCACAGAAUAGCAAAACAUAUGGGAAGGGAUCUGAGAGGUGUGUUUGUCUGCAGGGUUACACCCGCCUACCAACGGACCCUGAAGACCUCGGCUGCACUAAGCCGCCCUCUGCUCCGGUGAAUCUCACAGCCCGUCACCAUAAUGACUCCGUGCUGAUGGUGACGUGGGAUCCUCCUCAUGACCGUGGAGGCAGACAGGAAGUGAUGUAUGGCAUCAAGUGUGAGAAGGAAGUGGAGUCCAGCCGUCAGUGGCAGGCGUGUGGCGAUACUGUGGUUUUCCUGCCUGACUCAGCAGGGCUGACCAACACAUCAGUCACUGUCACCGAGCUGAGCCCCCAGCACGGAUACAGGCUCUCAGUGCAGGCCUGGAACGAUGCAUCCACCCUGGGGAGGGCUCCACCUUCAUCCACUGCCACCGUCACAAUCCACAGAUGGAAGGUUCCUCCUGUGGUGAGCACACAGACGCCGGGCUUAAACUUCUCAGAGCUGGCAGUAGUUCCAACAGCUUCUAAGUCCCAGAGUCGCACCUCCAUGUGGCUGACAAUUGGUAUUUUAUUUGCCAUCCUGCUGCUCAUGGCUCUAAUCCCCAUUGUUGUGUGUGUCCUGCGCAGCAACUACACUAAACUCAGGUCUGACCAGGGUGUGGAGCUUCUGCCAUUGAACGCUGGAGUUUCCUACAGACUUCAACAGGAGGAGGAAGCUGUACCUCAGCCGGCCAGCAUUUCUGUGGUGGGGGGGGGUGGUCCAGAUGUUGGAGGCGCUCGGCGGCAGCAUGCUGGACAGUCUGAAGGAAGUCCUGGUGGAGAGGGAAACACUCACCCUGGGGAAGGAGCUCGGCAAAGGAGAGUAUGGAUCAGUCUAUGAAGGGGUCUUCUCACCAGAGGAAGGAGGGGACAUGAAGGUGGCUGUGAAGACCAUGAGAGUUGGAAUCCACAGCCAGGAGGACUUGUAUGACUUUCUGAGAGAGGCAGAGAUCAUGAAGACCUUUGAUCACGAGAAUGUGGUCAGACUCCUGG
This is an RNA transcript of Trematomus bernacchii (emerald rockcod), 1932 nucleotides long. It is a transcript of the gene named tyrosine-protein kinase receptor TYRO3, with no coding region annotated. The transcript is spliced from 10 exons. NCBI's taxonomy places the organism in Eukaryota, Metazoa, Chordata, Actinopteri, Perciformes, Nototheniidae. The record is from RefSeq and is a predicted model, not a curated record.